Vicia faba (fava bean) is the source of this 246-nucleotide non-coding RNA. The record is from the annotation of a GenBank genome assembly. Lineage: Eukaryota; Viridiplantae; Streptophyta; Magnoliopsida; Fabales; Fabaceae.
AUGGAAUCCCUCCCUCUUUCUCUCGAAUGGCGCAGGUACCCUGAAACAACAUCUUCUCUGAUUCACGAACCUCGUUCACCACCUUUCAUCAUUAACAACAAUCUCAUUCGGCUCUCUUCUCUCCGUCUCCAUCAACCCCCAUUUUGUUACCGUCUCAGCCUUCCUCAGAACCAUGCAAAAACACGAAGCUUUGAAGCUUCCAAAUCCGGUCACAUAAUGCACAUAUUCAAACAAGAUGUGAUUUGA